GAUUCCUGUGAUGAUUUAGAUUACCGCCCCAGUCUGAAUAUCAAUGACUGAGUGGUAUUUUCUGAGAAUU
This 70-nucleotide small nucleolar RNA is filed under the name Leptobrachium leishanense (Leishan spiny toad). Lineage: Eukaryota; Metazoa; Chordata; Amphibia; Anura; Megophryidae. The record is from RNAcentral.